This 2373-nucleotide long non-coding RNA is filed under the name Coffea arabica (coffee). RNAcentral's name for it is "long non-coding RNA (CARA_LNC008041)". Lineage: Eukaryota; Viridiplantae; Streptophyta; Magnoliopsida; Gentianales; Rubiaceae. The record is from RNAcentral.
GACUUUACAUAUCUCACACCUCGCUCGUACCCCUGAAAGGAAAACAAAUGGAGUGGAAUGAGCUAAAAGCCCAGUGAGGUUCCAAAUAGCAAAUUGACCAUUAUUUAUAAGUACAAGUUUUCGAUAUAGCAAAGUAACGAGCAUGAAGAGUUCAUAAAUGUGAGCAAUAACACGUCAAGUAGCAAUCUUAAAAUGAGCGAGUGUAGAAGUUUUUCAAAAGAAACAAUAACCCAAUAAACAAUAAUCACUCCAAAGUAUAAGGAUACGGAUGGCUCUCAGGAGCCAAAUUCCCAUUGCAUUACCAAAAGCUUGAUCAUGUAGUAGUUGACACUCCGUCAACUUUCAAGUAAGUAACCAAUCCAGUAGAACACCACUUACACGACUCUCCGUCCACCGUUCAACCCCCAGCUGGGCCCAAAAUCCUCAAUAAACACGGGUGGUAAUACUCGAGUAUACCGAUUAGUCGAGGAGAUAUCACUCCACUCGACAAUACAAGAGACCCAGGGUUCGUUACCCAAUCGACCAAGCCCUUGCCGGCUCGACUAGAGUAACUCGCCACAGGGUUUCUGGAAUUCCAGGAAGUGCGCGCAUCAUAAACAAGUAUAUCAAGUCAAUUGCAACAAUAAACAAGUAUAUCACGUAAGGGCAAGUGCGAUAAAGUACACUCUUGCCCUUACAAUUCACGUAUAUAACAUGUACUCAUAUUGGUCACGUAUCAAGUUCAAGUAUCUAGUGCAAUUCGGUAUUUGAAAGCACUCACCAAAAGAUAUAGUGCCUUUACUGGUCACUUUCAGGUUAUACUCCGGGUUCGGAGUCCAAAUCUGCGAUAAAACUCAGUUUCAGAACUUUGAAACAUGAUUAAGAUUCGAAACUUAGACGUUUCGUUCAAUAAAAUCAAGAAAUUGAAAUUCGCUCGGAUAGUAGUCGUGAAACACUUGCUCGCUUUUUAAACGGUAAAACUUUGUAACAUUUAUACUUGAAAAUGCCAUGCGAGUCGAAAGUACAAGAGAAACAUAUUCCAAAUAGUCAUUAUUUCAUUUCUCAAGGGUACAAGCUCGGCCAAGUCCUUCCUUAUAUACCUCGGAAUAAGAAUACUCAAGUACCCUAGAUGGUUCAAGCAGUAAUCACUCUUAACCCUUACUCAAGUUGCAAGUAGUUCUCUAGUUUUCGAGCGUAAAUUUGGGCAGCAUGCCCUUUGUGUUUACCUAAUUUUCCAGCCAUUUAGGCUUCAUUAUUUUUCUCAACCACAACCCAACCUCACAUAUGUCAACAAUUCAAGCCAAGAGCCGUUCCAUAGGCUCACAAUAUCAUAAAACAAGAUUCACAACAAUUACAAGUGCAGAAAUUCAACUUAGCACAAGACAGAUUUGACGUAUGAAUGCGGAAAUAACAUAUCCAAGGUUAUGCUUAUCGAAUUGAGGCGUAACCUAUGCCGUUUCGAAGCUAAAACACAGAGCUACAAUGUUCAUGAAGGUCACUUAGUCCAGUUUCUAAUGUAACUUGGUCAAAUUCUCAAAUUACUAAACCAUAAAUCAAUUCGUCCGCUGUUUAAACGCAUUACACUGUAAUGGACAUAACUCAGUGUACAAGAGUCUAAUUCAGGUGUUCUUAGAGUCAUUUUAAAGCUACUUCAGAACACUACAACUUUCAUGUUUUGGCCUAGAGCUAAAUCAGAAUGGAUCCUGGUCAAAAAAACGUGAUAAACUGGACUUACUGAUGAAACGGACUGCUGAGGAAAUAUUUAAAACAGUAAGGGUAUUUUGGACUUUUCAUGACCUACGUUGCUCCGAUUGAGCUGAAAUUUUAUAGGCACCUACAAAAUUCCAUUCUCUACAACUUUUCUUCUUUGACUUAAGGCCAAAUAUGCCUCUAACACACAGAUACAAAUUCGGACAGAAAGGGAGCAAGAAUUUCCAGAAAUCUGGAAUUUUUUGUUUCUAGUGGAACUUUCCUUAAUUUCUUGGUCCAAUCACUACCAAAACACCUUAUAAAACCUCAAUUGCAACAUAUAAGCAUCAUACAACAAUUUGGGCAGAAUUUCCUCAAGCCCUAGUUCAUCAUAUAAAAGGGGAAAACUUCCAACUUCAUCACACCCACUUGCAUAAUCAUGAAAUCAAGCCAAAACUUAAGCUAAAAACACAUCUUAAAGCAAGAUUCAAAGCAACAAAGAUCAUGAUCAAAUGUUGGUACCUCAAAAGCAAGGCUUGGUAGAGUAAUCCUUCACCCCCUUUGAUAUUUCUUGGUUCCUCAAACUUCCCAACUCACACUUAGUACUUUAAUCGGUUUAUUUCUUUUGUUUUCUCACUUUGUAGCUAGAAAUCAAGAGGUAGGAUGGUGUUUCUUCUUGCUCUCUCUCUCACUCUUUGGGUCGGC